RNAcentral lists this ribosomal RNA (602 nucleotides) under uncultured bacterium. RNAcentral describes it as "bacterial SSU rRNA". It matches the Rfam family "Bacterial small subunit ribosomal RNA", at positions 35 to 671 of the family's 1533-position model. The record is from RNAcentral.
GCUGGCGGCGUGCCUUAUACAUGCAAGUCGAGCGGUAAGGCCCUUCGGGGUACACGAGCGGCGGACGGCUGAGUAACGCGUAGGAAUGUACCCCAAAGUGAGGGAUAACUGCUCGAAAGAGUAGCUAAUACCGCAUGUGAUCUUCGGAUUAAAGCUUUAUGCGCUUUGGGAACAGCCUGCGUUCGAUUAGCUAGUUGGUAGUGUAAUGGACUACCAAGGCGAUGAUCGAUAGCUGGUCUGAGAGGAUGAUCAGCCAGACUGGGACUGAGACACGGCCCAGACUCCUACGGGAGGCAGCAGUAGGGAAUUUUCCACAAUGGGGGCAACCCUGAUGGAGCAACGCCGCGUGCAGGAUGAAGGCCUUCGGGUUGUAAACUGCUUUUGUUAGUGACGAUUAUGACGGUAACUAACGAAUAAGGACCUGCUAACUACGUGCCAGCAGCCGCGGUCAUACGUAGGGUCCAAGCGUUAUCCGGAAUUACUGGGCGUAAAGAGUUGCGUAGGUGGCAUGUAAAGCGGAUAGUGAAAGCGUGUGGCUCAACCAUACAGCCAUUAUUCUGAACUCACAAGCUAGAAGGACGAGAGAGGUAGAUGGAAUUCCU